GGGCGGUUAGCUCAGCGGUAGAGCACUACGUUGACAUCGUAGGGGUCACAAGUUCGAUCCUUGUACCGCCCACCA
This 75-nucleotide transfer RNA is filed under the name Magnetospirillum sp. RNAcentral's name for it is "tRNA-Val". It matches the Rfam family "tRNA". Rfam says of the family: Transfer RNA (tRNA) molecules are approximately 80 nucleotides in length. Their secondary structure includes four short double-helical elements and three loops (D, anti-codon, and T loops). RNAcentral also lists the same sequence under 15 other names. The record is from RNAcentral. Lineage: Bacteria; Pseudomonadati; Pseudomonadota; Alphaproteobacteria; Rhodospirillales; Rhodospirillaceae.